UGGGGAAUAUUGCACAAUGGGCGCAAGCCUGAUGCAGCCAUGCCGCGUGUAUGAAGAAGGCCUUCGGGUUGUAAAGCACUUUCAGCGGGGAGGAAGGCGGUGAGGUUAAUAACCUCAUCGAUUGACAUUACCCGCAGAAGAAGCACCGGCUAACUCCGUGCCAGCAGCCGCGGUAAUACGGAGGGUGCAAGCGUUAAUCGGAAUUACUGGGCGUAAAGCGCACGCAGGCGGUUUGUUAAGUCAGAUGUGAAAUCCCCGGGCUCAACCUGGGAACUGCAUCUGAUACUGGCAAGCUUGAGUCUCGUAGAGGGGGGUAGAAUUCCAGGUGUAGCGGUGAAAUGCGUAGAGAUCUGGAGGAAUACCGGUGGCGAAGGCGGCCCCCUGGACGAAGACUGACGCUCAGGUGCGAAAGCGUGGGGAGCAAACAGG
This 429-nucleotide ribosomal RNA is filed under the name Chloroflexota bacterium. RNAcentral describes it as "Chloroflexi bacterium partial 16S ribosomal RNA". It matches the Rfam family "Bacterial small subunit ribosomal RNA", at positions 355 to 776 of the family's 1533-position model. The record is from RNAcentral. Lineage: Bacteria; Bacillati; Chloroflexota.